RNAcentral lists this ribosomal RNA (271 nucleotides) under uncultured bacterium. RNAcentral's name for it is "partial 16S ribosomal RNA". It matches the Rfam family "Bacterial small subunit ribosomal RNA", at positions 524 to 793 of the family's 1533-position model. The record is from RNAcentral.
UACGAAGGGUGCAAGCGUUACUCGGAAUUACUGGGCGUAAAGCGUGCGUAGGUGGUUUGUUAAGUCUGAUGUGAAAGCCCUGGGCUCAACCUGGGAAUUGCAUUGGAUACUGGCAGGCUAGAGUGCGGUAGAGGGUAGUGGAAUUCCGGUGUAGCAGUGAAAUGCGUAGAGAUCGGGAGGAACAUCAGUUGCGAAGGCGGACUCGUCUGGACCAGCACUGACACUGAGGCACGAAAGCGUGGGGAGGCAAACAGGAUUAGAAACCCGAUUG